CGUGGCAUACGGCUCAGUAACACGUAGUCAACAUGCCCAGGGGACGUGGAUAACCUCGGGAAACUGAGGCUAAACCGCGAUAGGCCAAGAUUUCUGGAAUGGAUCAUGGCUUAAAUCUAUAUGGCCUCUGGAUUGGACUGCGACCGAUCAGGCUGUUGGUGAGGUAAUGGCCCACCAAACCUGUAACCGGUACGGGCUCUGAGAGGAGGAGCCCGGAGAUGGGCACUGAGACAAGGGCCCAGGCCCUAUGGGGCGCAGCAGGCGCGAAAACUCUGCAAUAAGCGAAAGCUUGACAGGGUUAUUCUGAGUGAUUUCCGCUAAGGAAAUCUUUUGGCACCUCUAAAAAUGGUGCAGAAUAAGGGGUGGGCAAGCCUGGUGUCAGCCGCCGCGGUAAUACCAGCACCCCGAGUGGUCGGGACGAUUAUUGGGCCUAAAGCAUCCGUAGCCGGUUCUGCAAGUCCCCCGUUAAAUCCAACUGCUCAACAGGUGGGCUGCGGAGGAUACUACAGAGCUAGGAGGCAGGAGAGGCAAGCGGUACUCAGUGGGUAGGGGUAAAAUCCGUUGAUCCAUUGAAGACCACCAGUGGCGAAGGCGGCUUGCCAGAAUGCGCUCGACGGUGAGGGAUGAAAGCUGGGGGAGCAAACCGGAUUAGAUACCCGGGUAGUCCCAGCCGUAAACGAUGCAGACUCGGUGAUGGGUUGGCUUCGCGCU
This 711-nucleotide ribosomal RNA is filed under the name uncultured archaeon. RNAcentral's name for it is "bacterial SSU rRNA". It matches the Rfam family "Archaeal small subunit ribosomal RNA", at positions 77 to 791 of the family's 1478-position model. The record is from RNAcentral.